This 406-nucleotide ribosomal RNA is filed under the name uncultured bacterium. RNAcentral's name for it is "partial 16S ribosomal RNA". It matches the Rfam family "Bacterial small subunit ribosomal RNA", at positions 30 to 526 of the family's 1533-position model. The record is from RNAcentral.
AUUGAACGCUGGCGGCAGGCCUAACACAUGCAAGUCGAACGAGUGGCGGACGGGUGAGUAAUGUCUGGGAAACUGCCCGCUGGCGGGGGAUAACUCCUGGAAACGGUAGCUAUUACCGCAUACCAUCGGAUGUGCCCCGAUGGGAUUAGCUCGUAGGUGGGGUAACGGCUCACCUAGGCGCCGAUCCCUCGCUGGUCUGAGAGGAUGACCAGCCACACUGGAACUGAGACACGGUCCAGACUCCUACGGGAGGCAGCAGUGGGGAAUAUUGCACAAUGGGAACAAGCCUGAUGCAGCCAUGCCGCGUGUAUGAAGAAGGCCUUCGGGUUGUAAAGUACUUUCAGCGAGGAGGCGUUACUCGCAGAAGAAGCACCGGCUAACUCCGUGCCAGCAGCCGCGGUAAUUC